GAUGAAGAACGUAGCGAAACGCGAUAAGUAAUGUGAAUUGCAGAAUUCAGUGAAUCAUCGAAUCUUUGAACGCACAUUGCGCCCGCCAGUAUUCUGGCGGGCAUGCCUGUUCGAGCGUCAUUUCAACCAUCAAGCCCCAGGCUUGUGUUGGGGACCUGCGGCUGCCGCAGGCCCUGAAAACCAGUGGCGGGCUCGCUGUCACACCGGGCGUAGUAGAUUUUAUCUCGCUCAGGGCGUGCUGCGGGUUCCGGCCGUUAAAAAGCCUUUUUUACCCAAGGUUGACCUCGGAUCAGGUAGGAAGACACGCUGAACUUAAGCAUAUCAAUAAGCGGAGGA
Molecule: unclassified non-coding RNA, 336 nt
Filed under: soil metagenome
Description: partial contains 5.8S ribosomal RNA, internal transcribed spacer 2, and large subunit ribosomal RNA
Rfam family: 5.8S ribosomal RNA (bases 1-120)
Source: RNAcentral